UCAGACGAACGCUGGCGGCGUGCUUAACACAUGCAAGUCGAACGAUGAACCUGGAGCUUGCUCUGGGGGAUUAGUGGCGAACGGGUGAGUAACACGUGAGUAACCUGCCCUUGACUCUGGGAUAACCUCCGGAAACGGAAGCUAAUACCGGAUAUGACGCACGGAGGCAUCUCCUGUGCGUGGAAAGAAUUUCGGUCAAGGAUGGACUCGCGGCCUAUCAGGUAGUUGGUGAGGUAACGGCUCACCAAGCCUACGACGGGUAGCCGGCCUGAGAGGGUGACCGGCCACACUGGGACUGAGACACGGCCCAGACUCCUACGGGAGGCAGCAGUGGGGAAUAUUGCACAAUGGGCGCAAGCCUGAUGCAGCAACGCCGCGUGAGGGACGACGGCCUUCGGGUUGUAAACCUCUUUUAGUAGGGAAGAAGCGAAAGUGACGGUACCUGCA
RNAcentral lists this ribosomal RNA (447 nucleotides) under Leifsonia sp. Ellin432. Its description in RNAcentral is "bacterial SSU rRNA". It matches the Rfam family "Bacterial small subunit ribosomal RNA", at positions 28 to 483 of the family's 1533-position model. Lineage: Bacteria; Bacillati; Actinomycetota; Actinomycetes; Micrococcales; Microbacteriaceae. The record is from RNAcentral.